AAAUUGCUGGAAUCUGAGUAUGGACUAUCUUGAGAGUGAUAAUCCCUUAAGAGCUUCAGUAUUAGAGGGGCCUGCCACAUUCACGGCCUUUAUCUGCAGUUAUCUCACCAGAUACUCACAGUGAAGCUGCCCUUGUAGCUCUGGCUGGGGCGGAGGAAGAGCAAUCCUUGUGAAUUACCUCCAGAGUAUGCUCUGUAAAACAGGUUUGUUUUUCCAGGAGAAAAGACACUAACAGCGUCUUCUAAUGUCCAUGAGGUAAAAGAACUGAUGGCUGGAGAGAAUUGAAACAGAGAGAUGAAAAUUAAAGAAGAAAUAAAAAUAAAAUUAAAAAGGGAAAAACAA
This 342-nucleotide long non-coding RNA is filed under the name Pan troglodytes (chimpanzee). Its description in RNAcentral is "lincRNA". Lineage: Eukaryota; Metazoa; Chordata; Mammalia; Primates; Hominidae. The record is from RNAcentral.